CUGUUACAAUAUGGGCAUCUUCGUAAUAGUUCUUUAAAUCUUUCCCACACCUCAUACAAGGAUUCAUCAUCCGUCUGUUGGAAGGAAAUGAUCUCGUUCCUCAAUUU
Molecule: non-coding RNA, 107 nt
Organism: Gossypium hirsutum (cotton)
Lineage: Eukaryota; Viridiplantae; Streptophyta; Magnoliopsida; Malvales; Malvaceae
Source: Rfam